CGCGAUUUAGGUCCGCAGUGGAUCUCCACACGACACGGCUCCGGGGAGGUGUCAGCUGGAUCUCGGCCAUUUCCUCAAAGCACGCUUAAUAAAUAAAAUAACUGUCGCCAAGUGCCUUCUUGGGCAUAGAGUAUCCAUCUCUCGCCAAGGCAAGAGAUCUGGGAUAUGGAUAUAGAGUAAAAAGAAGAUGCCACUUACAUCAACAUGAUAUCAUUAUGAUAUUAUAAUUAUAUUUAUAUUUCUAAAAUUCAAAAAAAAGAAAAAUCAGAAAAAU
This 274-nucleotide long non-coding RNA is filed under the name Phoenix dactylifera (date palm). Its description in RNAcentral is "long non-coding RNA (PDAC_LNC002597)". Lineage: Eukaryota; Viridiplantae; Streptophyta; Magnoliopsida; Arecales; Arecaceae. The record is from RNAcentral.